GGGCAUUGAAGUGAUAGACUGAGGUCUAGUAGACUUGCUGUCACCUGAGGCCUUUCACUCAUCAGCUUGUCUUCAAAUCUAGACAGCUGGGUCUGAUGCCACAUUGGUGUUAGAUGUGCUAUAGAGUGGGAGCCUGCAGGACCCCUAAAAGGUCUGUGCUUCAUACCACUUAUCUGUAAUGCAGGAACUGAUGUCAAAGCCUUAUGUAUAUGGUGUCUCCCAUAGCCUAAUUAAACAAAAAAAUCCCAGCAAGGAACAGGUCACAUUUUAUCCCUUGUUUUUAAUAUUUUAUUAACUUCAGUUUGUCCUUGAAGCACAUGGGUUUCUGCUGAGGUUAUUCCAACAUAUUUGCCAAAUCUUUGCUAUGCCUUGAGUGUUGGCCUGGUGUGAGAAUUUGCUGAGAUGUCUGUGAGGGGUGGCUGUGCAGAGGAGACAUCUCCGUUGUGUCUCUCCUCGUGUGUGCUUGGGCAUGGGGAUCCCACAUCAGCCUCGAAUGGUGGUGCUGCAGAAGGCACCUUUGCACUUUAUCCUGUUCACUUGUUUCAACGAUUAAUAUUGUAAAUGUUUUGUGUUUCAGCCAGGGCUUGAUCAUUGGGCCUGUGGUUAAUUGCCUUAUUUUUAACCUACCUGAUGCAUUGGUCUCUCUGCCCCUCUGCCAGUCACCUGUGGUCACUGCUGGUCUGCAUUCACUAAAUUUGGCAGAUGGGAGGAGUUCUCAGAGGUAUCAAGUCAUCUCAAAUUUAACUAAAGGAGGCAGGUAGAGGGGAAGGAAGGAUUCAGGUGUGUGCUUAGCCUUUAUAAAACAACAGAUGAUCCACAUGAAAAAGAAACUAAUAAAUACCUUCAAGCAGUUUUGGCUUUGGACUGAGCUAGCACCUUCUUAGAAGUCAGCAGGGUAUUGGGCACAGAUCUGCAGGAAAUGAGUUCUGUUGGUUCUAGUGUUGGUGGGCAGCAGGUCCUUCUGGGAGGGCACUGCUACCUAACAGAGAUUGGGUUUGGGCCUCUCUUUAUUUUGUGAGUGCGUAGAUCACCUGCAGCACUCCCUGGGUGACAAUGCGUCUCUCUGGCAAACAGCAAUUUUGAAAAGCUAAUGGUAGGAAGAAGUAUGUUUUGCAGCUGAACUUCUUUGAUAAUUGUCUUGUCCUUCUCAUAAUCCCCUUUCCAAUCACACCAUCGCUGUCUAUAGGUACACAUGUGUUUCCAUGACUUCCCUAUGUCCCCUCCAGCAACUUUUAAACCUUUUGACCAAUUUCAGCUGUAUUUGACAGCACAGUAAAGGCGUCAAAGAUAUGACAUUCCUGCAUGUUUAGUGAAAAUCCACGGUCUAGAAGAAAAGAGAGGCGCAAAAUGGGUCCCUGCUGAGGGAAAGACUCAAAUAUACACUUCCAAUUUGCUGAAGAAUUUCCCGUGAAAAUGCCGCAGUUUGACUAGCGCCCGCAGCAAGCCAUCAGGCACACAUCUGUAGGAGGCCCAGAUGUUACCUGUCCCAACAAACCAGAGUAAUUUUGUCACACUGGCUCCCUGCGCCUUUUCUCCCCCUCCAACUUCUGUCUCUCAGCACCAGACACCGAAAACCAGCCUCCGGGUUUAUCUCGCCAGCCAAAGUGAUGAGAGGGGGAUUUUGGGAGGUUUAGGGAAAGCUCAGGGCUGUGCGCCACAGGACAGGGCUGCCAGGGGUAUGAACUAAGCCCAAUUCUCACAACACCAGUAUUGGAGGUGGCCACCGAGUGCUGUUCACCCGGAAGCCUGGGGCUGCGUCUCGCCAGUCGCCUGCUCACUUCUCCUCACCAGAGAGCCGCUUGGGAGGCAUCGCUCGCCCUCCAGAGGCACCAGCCUCCCCGCUGGCUCCUGGAGCAGAUUAGAUGCCUAUUUUUCAGAUGGUUAAAUCGUUCAAUUCAGUGUGUUUUCUCUCCCCCAUACCCUCUGAGCUGUGCGCGGUGAGGCACGAGGGGCUACGACCGAGGAGCCGGGUCCCGCUGUGCCGUUCGCUGUCUGCCCCGUGGCUGCAUCCAUCCCAUAUUUCUGAAUGGGAAGGAAGCUCCACGCAGCACAGAGACUCACAAACUUAGCGACACAUCUGGGUGCGUAUUUUUAAUUCUACUGCCAACACUUCAGGGUGAGUUAUGUGAUGCCUGGGAGAGAUGGAUUCGAUCCAGGCUUGUGUCUCUAGCACAAAACCACGCUGUGGUUCAGCGCUGGGCAGGCUCGCCAGGCUUCGGUUUGCCCUUAGGUGGGGAUGGAGCAGCUGCUGGAGCAAUUUGUGGUGUGAAUAGCUGCAGGUUGCAGCCUCCAAAAUACCUUCUCCUUGCAGACCCUUGUGUUACCCCAAAUGAAUAUGAGCAGUUUUUCCAGGGGAGGAUGUUACAGUGCACUAUCUGGACACUGUGAAAGGAUUUAAUCCAAACGUUUGGGAGAGUGUCAGAAAGCCAGCUGGAACCUGACAGGAGGGACAUCGGUGCAAAGCCUUUGCUGCAUUUCUGAGGCUCAGAAAUCCUCCCAGCAAUCCCAGUGCGAUGAGUGCUUUGACAAGCAGAGGGGUUAUCCAGCUGGACCAGCACUUCCAUCCCUUCCUGCCUACCUUCAUCCACAGAUGCCUAACUCAAAAGCCACUGGAAUCACCGGAAAAACUCCCACUGGCUUGUGUAGGCAUCUCAUCAGCCCCAUUAGAUCAUCGCUGAACCACACUGCAGCUUGGCCACACGUCUCAGCAGAGCUGCCGUGGUGAAGGAGGGUGAGGAAGCACAUCAGUCCUCCAAGAAAAGAAGGACCCCUGCGCUGGAAGGGGAACUGCCUCCAUUUGAAUGUGUGACCAUGCCUCCGAGGAACCACAGUCGGGGGGCUUGUGUCCCAUUUUCAUCUGUGCUCCUGGGGCGCCCCACGCCAAGAGCCACCGAGAGACUCCUGCCCCUGCUCCACAAGGCAGGCAGCCAUGAUGGCCAGCAGGUGAUGCCCAGCAGGUGAUCUUCUCCAGGCCAGGAGAGCUUUCCAAUGAGAACGGGGGAUUCAAACUGCAGUUUUUGCAUGUCAGCCCCAUCAGACACCACCAAGAGAUAAUGUAUAUGCUCUGCUCAGUCUGGGGAACUGCAGAAUAAUGAAACGGCUCUGAAAAGGUCACAUGAAAGAGUAAGAGACAGCAGCUGCUUGGAAACUUCCCAACUUUCAUCCAAGUGUUAUGGAAAUGGCAGAUUGUUCCUGCAGAAGCUGAUAAUUCAGCUUGGAGCAUGAUAUCAAAAGGUAAGCUCUACCUUAAUGUAUGUAUGCUGGCAGAGACCCUUAACUGAUCUACCCUAUAGUGGUGGACCAAGGAAUCAGGAAAUAAAAACUGGGCCUGGGUCCUCACCAUUGCUUGUCCUUCUUUCCUGGGCCGAACUCAAGGUCCAGAGGGGGAGAAGAAGGCUUCUUGCUAGGCUCAUCCCUCAGUUUAUGCAGAGCUGGUUGAGUGUGGGCCCUGCUCUCUCUGAGCCUCUGCUGUCUAGCAGAAAACCUGACAAGAAAUGGAUGGACCCACCCUGUCGUCUCACUUCUUUUUUGUGAGACCAAAGCAGAGAGACAGCAGCUGCGUAGGGACUUUCCAGUUCACAUCAAAGUCUUUGAGGAAACCUCAGGUUGCAGCUGUAGACAGUACUUUUUAUUUCAGCACUGCAAGGCUCAGCCUUUCAAAACUUGAUAUGGACCUCCGAGACUUAAAAAAAAAAUACCCAAUGUUGAGCAGGUUUUACUUGCCUUUACUUGCCUUAUGACUCCUGAGCUUUUAACAUUCAUAAAGAACUGAUUUCUUCUCCACGGUAUUGCUCCAGAUGCGAUGUCAGCACUGAUGCAACAGCACCAACCAGGGUAUGUGAUUUUUUCUGUACACAGAUGGGACUGUCUUGGGUGCUUUUGCUUGGAAAUACUAGGGUGUGAUUUAGAGAGCAUGUUUGCAGUUUAUAAUCAAAAUUAUCAUAAAUAUUUUCAUUUUAUAAUCAACAGGUAUUCAGAACAUUCCCUUUUUACAUAUUUGAUAAUUCUCUUGAUUCUACAUACUAACAAAUAGUGCCAUCUCUCUCAUACUCCCUGUCCCCAUAAUGACCGGUGAAUAUGAUGCACUAUAUUUUUCCAAGAAUAAUCCAUUCUUGCAAGGCUUUACCUGUUCCAUGGUUCUACUCAGAGUAAGUUCUGAAUUUUUUUUAGUUUAGAUACCUUGUGUUGUUCAGAGAUCACUCACAGUCAAGCAAGCUGAGAAGAUUGUUGCUAUUUAGUGCCUAAACUCUACAUGAUCUGCGUUAGGCAAUAGGGUCAGGGCCAUCCAUGUAGUUAAUGAUGGGAAGUGGUUAAUGAUAGGUCAGUGAUGAGAUAUGAUUAAUGAAGGGAAAAAGACUGCAGAACUGCAAAGUCACCGAGGGUCCCAGGAAGCAUUAGUAUAAAAACUCCAUCAGCUCUCCUAACUCCAAGCCUACAGCCACCUUUUUGCCCCCACCUCCUUGCUGGUAAAUCCAUGCAGAACAGCAAGAAUUUCCAAAUGACCUAAUGCGAGAACCUGGCACAGCCUCGUGCCCCACUGCGAGAGCCCAGGCUGGCCACCCACAUCACCUCCUACGCCCGGUCUGCAUCCACUCCAGAGGCUAUAAAAUAUAAGCGAUGAAUUACACCACUGCCAUCCUCAGCAUCACGAUUAUUAUUUUUAUUUUUUUCCUGAAGUGAAAAAGAAAUUAAAGCAAGAAUAGAGUUUGAUUAGAGUGAAGAGGAAAUGGGGAGAAGUAAGGAAACUAUACCCCGCAUAGAGAAGAAGGCCAUAAAACCACAAUGCAAAUUUAGACGCAAUUGCGUAUGUUUGGCAUUUCCCUGGGACUGUCUUUGACAGUGUUCACAGGGUUGAAUGCAGGAUUUGUGAAAAUGAAAGGCUUCCCUUACUUUUGAAUGUUCCUUUUAUUGCCUCAAUAUACCAGCUCAGAGGUAUGGAGUGAGCAGGCAGAGAUCAGGCACAGCAUUAGAAAACCAUAGGGUCCUCAAGUAUUCACUUCUUAGCAGUAUUAGUAAUAUCUUAUUUAUUUAAAAUAAGUGGUUUACAGUUCAGAAUAGAAAUGAAACUAUUAUUUUUGAGUAUUCCCAUGCCUGUUUAUAAAACUGUAUUUUUCAUAUUGAUUUUUUAUUUGUAAUAACAUUUGUAGUAACAGAAGCAGUCUCUGGCAUGUCACUACUGCGACAUGUCCGCCCUGGUGAUCAGUGGCAAUCAGUACUAGGUCUCCUGCCUAACAGCUAGCAGUACCCAGACCAUUUACUAGACCUUAAGACAGAUCCUGGAGUGUUCUACUGUUACAUUAUCCACCUCUGGAAGGAACCAAGAGACUAUUAAAGCGCUUGGUUAUCUAUACACUGGUAAUCAAAUAGCUGUAACAAAGUAUGGAGAUAUCUACUUGAUUUUCCAAAUGCUUGGAGCUCCCAUCAGUCCACUGGGAAGCAUAAGGAAACAGAGCAGGGAGCUGAACGUCUGAUUAAACUGCUGGACAGUAUGUAUGCAGUUCUUCAGAGACUCCUUGGGAGACAAAAGAAAGGAAAGAAGUGCUCAGCGCCCUUACCAGCCUGGGUUUUUGCUUUGGCUCAUUUGCAACCUCAAAAACAUGGAAGGACUUUUUGUUUCGUAGAUCCGUAAAUCUGGUCCUGUUAAUGUUUUGUAUUUCAUAAUAAGGCAUGGUAGAGAGAGAUUGGAGGAGCUGCCUCAAUACUUAGCAUAGCUUGUUAUCUUAAAUGUCAAUCUUUUGGGGAUGGUUCCUGUGCCAGCAAUUUUCUUCAGGGGCUAGAAGCUAUGAAUAGUGGGCAACCACAUACCCAACUUUUCCACCUUUAGAAAAACAAAACAAAAAACUUAUACAUGCCCCAAAUAAGUAGAGCACACAAGUGGGGAACAGGAAGAAGGACUUAUUAUUUAGAACAGCAAAAAAGACUAAACCCUUACAAAAGAGUUGCUGCACUUCUAUGCAGCACACCACCCCUUGGAGACUAAACAGCAAUGUUAACAUCUGUACCUAUUUAUUCAGGGCAGGGAUGUGACCUUUCCAGGCUUAUUUAUUUCAGCAAACUCUGUUCAUGCUAUUAAUGACCGCUCAUAAGAGUUGCAAGACUGUAAUACAAAAUAAUUGCUGAUAAUAGAAAAACUGUGUGAUAGGAAGAGCAAUAAUUUUCCCAUUAUCAAGUGAUUAUUUUUUUCUUCAAGAGCAUAGAUUAAUUUGUACUCUGAGAAAUUGCUUCAAUUAUUUUGAAAAUUUUCUUAUCAAAGGUUUAUUUUGAAAUUGGCAACUGCACUUCCACAGAUGUGAAGGGUUUUUGUGGUCCUUACAACAAAUUUUGGUGACUUGAUUAGAUGGUGGUAUAAUAUUAUUGAAUAAUAUUACUGAAAUCAUUUUGUUCCAGGUUUCUCAACGUCUACCCAAAUCCUUCUCUUGACUGUGUGGAGGAAACACAACCCACAGAUUGAGCAACAAACCCAGAGAGCUUCAGGGCUUGAGUGGCUUCAGUCUCGUCCCUUGGCCCCAAAAUGACCCAGUGUCCUGAUCUAUAAAAUGAGGACAAUAAAAUCUAUCCACCUUUGUAAACACUGAUGAGACAGAUGGUUGAAUAACCAUAUGUAAAUUUUAAAUAUUAAUUAAACUGAGACAGGGCAUGAGGUAAUCACAAAGCAUAUGCUACUUUAGACUGGCUCAUUAACAGCUCUGCUACUGGAACCAGUUUUCUCAUGCAUCUGCAGUAACGAGCUGGAAGUGCAAUCUGCAAAAUCAUGGUCUUGAUCAUUUUUUAUCGUGCAAUUAUACUAUGAUAACAGUUUGAACCUGUGUGUGCACAUGUAACAAAAAGAUACCUCCAAGCAGUUUACAGUCUAAGACUUAAAAAUCUACUGCUUACUCUCAAUUUGUAUUGGUGUAACUCUGAAGUGAGCUGUAUUAUAAAAAGGAAUUAGGAUACUUAGGCAGCACUGUAGUAGUAUUUCAGUAGUUUCCGUGAGCUGUUACUUUUUGAACCAUCACCGAAAAUCUCGUACAACCAAUACACAUCUCUGACUUCCUUCUCGUGUGUGUUACAGGCACCCAGUAUUCCUAGCAGACAGUUUCACUUUCUACGAGACAAGAUGCAUCUGCAGCUCUGGUUUCCUGUCGAGUCCAGCUGGCAUCCAGAGACCGCACCAGAUUUAAGAGGCUGAUGUUCUCUCCACAACUUUGACUUUUCACAACAGCUACCUACACUCGGAAAAAUGAAACUGCUAGCCAACAGGGUGAAGCCCCUAAGUUCAGGAGACAUAUUUCACAUUUUAAAUCAAGUUCUGCAAUAAAAGAGAAUGAUCGCUUUUCAGGGCUCUUUUCUGUUUACGUUGAAUCCAAUACAAUGAAACUCUGACCCUGGCUGCAGUCCACCUCAGUUACUGCUGCAGUAAAAGUAACCAUACUCAUAAUAACGGCAUACAAAAUGUACAUGUUUUGACCUUCCUUCAAUUAUUUUCUGCAUCCAUAAUCAUCUACUGCACUGACAGACAUAAUCUAACAACCUAUACUCUAAAUGAAGCAGCUGUUCCUACAUGGGAAAAGGCUGAAUGUUGUAUUUUUUCCAUUUUAAAAGAGUUAAGAAACUGCUUAUAUGCUGUUUCUAGUGAAGGAAAGGUAUUUAUUUAGCAUAAAGACUAAAUAAUACUAAUAAUUCAGUCUUUACUGAAUACACCCAUAGCAGACCAUCCUUAAGAAAAUUUAUUAAGGAAGCGCUUAAUGCAUGAAAAACAAAAUGAGAGCAAAAAUAGUCACAAUAUUACAUCUCUCCAACCAAAGCCUUUUCCUCAGCUUACAUUUUGGUUUAGCAACCUAACAGGGACACUGCUAAUUUGUUUUCGGUUCUACUGUAAAAAUGUAAGUAUGAAGUUAUUUCAGUUGUUACACCUGCCAGUGACUCUCCACUGCCAAUUACUGUGGUUUUAUGAGGAAGUUUUCUCUUUCCGUUGCUGGGCAAAACACAAAUGUGAGUUUUUCUGUUUCAUUGUAAGGCUAUUAAAAUUUGAAAAAGAUGAGAUUUUAACCUCUGCAGUGUCUUUCAU
Molecule: long non-coding RNA, 8050 nt
Organism: Dromaius novaehollandiae (emu)
Lineage: Eukaryota; Metazoa; Chordata; Aves; Casuariiformes; Dromaiidae
Exons: 6
Source: RefSeq, a predicted model, not a curated record